AAUCCAUCAACCAUCUCCAAUUUAUUCUUUACACUUAGGAUUAUGACCAAGUUCACGUACUUAAAAGGGAGAAACCACAGAGACAUCACACUGAAAGUUUCUCUGCUUUGGGCCAGCAGGAAAUUCCAGUUGCUUCAUUCACCGGAGCCAGUUAAGCUGCUGAAAUGAAAUGGAUCACCGGAGAGAUCACUAUAUCAGGACAUAGACUUGACUUUCAGGGUUGGAGGAAGCCGGACAAAGAUGAAUGGGAUUCAGAGCCUGAACUCAAGGUCAACGUCUUCUGAAUCACAAAGAGCUGGUGGGUCAGUCUGGGAGAAGAAAGAAAAUUCUGCGCCAAAUGGGAAAACCCUUAAAGUCUGCAUAGUUUUGCUUGUCGGGUUGUUAUGAGGCUCAAAGGAACGGCUGCUGUGAAAAAACAUGCUUUGCAAUUUAUGAAGCACUGGAUAAACAUCAGGAACGGUAUAAAAGCAUGCUGCUUACUCAAGAAAUACUAGUUGAGUGCCUGUGUGUUGGGCACUGGCUAGAGAUAAGGGUCUCCUAUGGACAGAAGUGCGGGCAAGGAGCUUUGUUCCUCCCCGAUGUCACCCUCCCACAGCCCACUUGCUAGCAGGCAAGAGAGGGGUGGAGGCCGGCAGUAAGGCAUGUACUGAACUGGACCUCUGGUGGAAUGGGUCACCCACGCUGGGCUUGACUCUUACCAUCAGGGUCCUGCCAACCCUUCAGUGAGACUUUUUCCGAAGAAUCCCUUUUAAAAUGACCUCAAGCUGACCUUCCUGAUGCAGAUUCCACAUAUGGUAUCUGAGACUCACACAGUGUGGUUGGAAGAUAGCACAGUGACCUCCCAGGCACAGCCCUCUGCCAGCCCUCCACUGGCUGCCCUAGGAUGCUGGCCUUCCUCCGAUGGGAGUCGGGCCCAGUCUGCUGUGAGCCAGGAGAAGCCAGCAAGCUCCCUGCGAGGCCUGGAGGAGCCCUUCUCACUCAGCUUGGUGUUCGAUGCCAGUGCCCCCGCCCAUUGUGGGGUGAGGGUGGGACUCUCAGCACAGCCCUGUCCAAAUAAAUCCUCUAAAGCCCUCUUCCAUCUGCAGUCACUUGAGUCUUUUGUAGCCUGUGUGAUUGAGCAUCUAAGCAGUCCUCAGCUAUUUACUUUGAAAUUUCGUAAGUGAUUUUGGUAUCUGUCAUUUCUUGAUGCAUCAGUCACAACUCCCCAUCUAACAUCCCAUUAAAUAAUAUAUAAAACAGAACAAAAACAUUGUGCCAACUUCUUCUAAGAAGAAUUUAAUGUCACUUCCUAAGUUAAGCAGUUGGGCCCUGUCCCAUGACUGUUCAUCUCUGCUCAAUAGUCAUCAAGAGCUGAGAAAGAAGAAAGGAGCCCUGGGGGCCU
Molecule: long non-coding RNA, 1381 nt
Filed under: Homo sapiens (human)
Lineage: Eukaryota; Metazoa; Chordata; Mammalia; Primates; Hominidae
Description: HSALNT0114035
Source: RNAcentral